AACGCACCUUGCGCCCUUUGGCUAUUCUGAAGGGCAUGCCUGUUUGAGUAUCAUGAACACCUCAACUCUCGUGGUCCGCCACGAUGAGCUUGGACUUUGGGGGUCUUGCCGGCCUAGCGUCGGCUCCUCUCAAACGGAUCAGCUUGCCAGUGUUUGGUGGCGUCACGGGUGUGAUAACUAUCUACGCUUGUGGUUUUCCGCCAUGCAACCUUCAGCGAUGGAGGUUCGCUGGAGCUCACAGAUGUCUCUCCUCGGUGAGGACAGCUUUUGAACGUUUGAUCUCAAAUCAGGUAGGACUACCCGCUGAACUUAA
This 313-nucleotide unclassified non-coding RNA is filed under the name uncultured Thelephoraceae. Its description in RNAcentral is "sequence contains ITS2". Lineage: Eukaryota; Fungi; Basidiomycota; Agaricomycetes; Thelephorales; Thelephoraceae. The record is from RNAcentral.